AUACAAUUUGUCUAGGCUUGGCUUAAACUUUAUGUCGAUCCCUAUUUUGGUCUCUGGUUUGAUGGUUGCACGUAUGGUCUAUUUUCCCACGUAGUUCGUCGGUAAAACCAACGAUUCUCUUCUCAAAGUAAUAGAGAGAUCCUUUUCUAGUUAGACUUCUAUCAACAUAAUGAAAGAACCAUCCCUUCCCUAUUUCUUUGUCUUGUCAGAUAGAAAGAAAAUUAGACCCUAGCC
Molecule: long non-coding RNA, 234 nt
Filed under: Gossypium barbadense (sea-island cotton)
Lineage: Eukaryota; Viridiplantae; Streptophyta; Magnoliopsida; Malvales; Malvaceae
Description: long non-coding RNA (GBAR_LNC010281)
Source: RNAcentral